GUCCGUGCCAAGGGUUGGCCUGCACUUUUGUCAAGGUUUGAGGUUUGCUUCUUUUCUUUUGCGGUCGUCGAAGCGUGGAAUUAACUCAAAUCGAUUCGCUGCACUCGAACUCAAGGGACGUGGCAAUGCUUAGGGUUAUAAACGUAGAAUCCACUUUAGGGUUUUUCAGUUUUUCAAUUGUUACAGUCGAGUCGGUUACCGAAAACCUUGACCAUGACAAGUGUAUGAUAAUUGCAUAGUGUGAGUGCGUGCAUUUGUGUGUGCUCAGAGUGUAAGAAAAUUAUAUAAUUUGUUCCCAUAGAUUCUGGUUUUUUGCAGCUUUGAAUAAUAAUAUAUAUACCAGACAUCAAAAAAGCACAGAGCUUUAGGAAUCUUAAAAUAUUAAGAAUGAAUAGCAUCGUGUCGAAGGCUCCUUAAAACACCUCAAACAGCGCGAGCACGCUUAUUUGGAUUAAGAGUACACAAUUUCGGGAUUUGAAUAGCAAGCGAGUUGAUGAAUAGCAACGGGAUUGGGAAAUAAGAUUUCAGAGUUCAAAAUGUUGAACUAUGGGAUGGUGCUAUCUUUAGCUGUAUAGGGAUACGUGCGCAUGGCCGACUAACUGAAGAGCAAAUGACUAUUCGAUGCAUUGGCAACCUGCGGCCAGGUAGCGCGAGGCCAAAUUGCUACCACAGAGACCCAUGUCAAUGGCGACCUGAGACCUGAGACCUGCGCUCUGCACCCCGCGCCCUGAACUCUGACCCAAGGCUCAGAUGCAUUGUUUGAGAAACGCUUCGCAUUUUCAAUAUAUAGGUAUUGUCAGUAUUAUGAUGGAUUUUCUGCACAUGCCAGAGUUAGGGUCCUAUUUGGCUCUAGAUUUUCCCACGGUUACAGAAGCGCGCUAAACCUGCAGCCAUCACCUGUGUCCUUUCACGUUGAGGAUACCUGCAAUUCUCGGAUAGACCGUGACCAUUUGCAGCGCUUAAGGCAACCAAAAGAAGUUUUCGGACAGAUACUCUGAUGCACAGACGGAUUUGGCUAUACCAUGGUUUGGUGAGAAAUGAAAUUGUAUAAAUGCAGUGUAUAAUUCAUUGUGUAACGAGUACAUCAACAUCAUCAGCCAUUAUGAUGUCCACUUUAAAAAGGCCUAAUCUCACGAAAAAAUUGACGUUGUCGAGCAAAAUAUCAUUAUUGGUAUAUUCUUUUGGUAUAAUUUACAAUUCAGAUGAUGUCAAUAGCAACUUUGGGAGUGAGUUUAUUAAAAUGUAUGUACUUAAUAUUGCUAAGAAUUAUACCGGCUAUAUAAAUAUAUUCAAUCAGUUGUUAAAUUCAAGAUCUUAUCUUUUCAUAACUCAACGAUUCCAAGUGAGCGAAUUAAAAAUGGGAAAUCAGGGAAUAUUGGUAUUGUGUAAAUGUAGGGCAGUUAUUCUCCAAAAUAUAUAAGCGUUUUUUAGAUGACCCAUCCAAUUUUAUCGAUAACAAUCGAUAAUUGAUUUCGUUUUUAAUCCUAACUUUAAUACGUUUGCUUCCAAUUUGAUAUAACGUAUUUCAAGUACUAGCAGCUUGUGCUUUGGCAUAAACACACAUAAAUGAAGACUACCGACUACCGAAGACUACUUAUUAAAGAAUUCAGUCCCCAUAUUAUAGUUCAUAUUGCCAUGCAAGGAAAAGUUGAAUUAUUGGAAUAUCAGCUCUUUGCACGGUUCAGUGGAUCUCAUAGUCGAGCAGUCUCGCUUAUAAUUAUAAUUAUCAAAUUAUAAAAAAUUAUAAAACACUAUAAAGCUUUUGGCAAACUAUGCCGACACAUUCCAAUACAUACGUAUACAAAUAUACACGUGCGCAGCCCACGUCUUAAAUAGAAUAGUAAACAUCUAUAAGGGAUUAGUCAGAGCAUUUACCGGUUCGCUGAUUACUAAAUAAUUCAAAAUGAAAAAUAAAUAAAUAAAUAGUAAUAAAAAUAGGCAUAAAAAAUGAAAUAAAACGCACAUAAAUUUGUUUAAAUAUUUUUGGCAAAUGAGAGAAGAUGAAUGAUGUUCAGCAUGUGAUAUGUAUGUGAUCCACGCUCCUUACAUUAAGUUAUGGCAUGAUUCCUCUUUAGCUGCUGUCAACUAAGCUACCCAAUUAGUUCCGUAUGCUUGAAGAUGACGAAGAUGUCUGCGAUUCACUAUAUUAUAUGGCUGGUAUUAUGGACAGCGUUUGUUGAUCGGUUCACGACUCGGAAAGCACUAGAUUUUUUCACAUGUUUAGCAAUUUGUAUAACUUAUCGUUAGACUUGUGAGAGGUAUUUAAAUUUCAACAAAAAGACGCUUUAGUGUACUCAGAAUUAGGACUAGGAGGUAUUAAAACUAUACAAUGAUAUUCUUUUAUAGGAAUUAAAAAAAAGUCGUAUUGAUUCAAAUCUUUUCAUAUACGUUAUAAUAUUUGAAGAGCACUCUUAGUGGACGUCCAAAGGGAGUUCUUUAGAAAUGUCGCCUUUGGCAAUACAAACACAGCACACAAUUGAAGUUGAUUGCUCUUUGCUGAAAUUGGGACACUUUCUAGAUGAAAGGAUUAUUAAGAGAUUUUCUAAGGGAAUCAAAAGUUUUGCUAUUUGCGACAGACUCAAUAAUUCUCGCAUUUUAUGGCCCAAGUUUUAUUCGUAUUGUUUUGUGUGCUUUGUCCUAAGCGUCUGUCUUUCUCUCUCUCUCUUUCUCUCUCGCAUACUCUAUCUCCGUGUAGUUUGUAAACUUUGCACUUCGUGCCAUAAAAUUAUAUAAAAUAUAUCCUCUCGCAGCCGCUCUGUCGUUUGAGCUGCUGUCAAUGUCGUUUGCUGCCAAAAAGUUGAAAGGAUACAAUUUGUGGUACCAUCAAAACAAUGCCUGAAGAGCCAAAAAAAAAAAAAAAAAAAGGAGUAAGAUAAGAUAAGAAACGACUUUUGUAUGUAGAGAAGGGAGUUUAGAUGUGUUUUUACUAUUUUUCUCUCUUAUUUACUAUUUUGUUUAUUUAUGUCAUACAAUAGGAGUUUAAUUUGGUGCGAGUAACGCCAGAUAUAAACUAGGCUAAGCAUAUAGGUGUAUAUAUAUGUAUAUAUAUACAUACAUGCGAUACUCUGUUUAUUUGAUAACUGAAGCUCGAUAAUUCUUAUUAUGAAAUUUAUAUUCGAAUGCUUCAAGCCCAAAGUUUUUCCAAUGAAAAUAAUUAUACUUAUAAAGCAAAUGACAGACUAUAUGAUUCAAUAUAAUUUGGGCAAUAAUAUUAUUAUUAAUAUUAUAUUAUUUUUUUACUUUUACAAAACAAUUUAUGUAUGCGAAAUGGGUUUCAUAUUUAAUGCAUUUAUAUAGUUGAAAGAUGUUACGUUCGUUACGUUCCAACAUUUAAGGUUAAGCAUACAAAAUUUGAGUGAGCACAGAAGGUUUCCUAAUUUUGAAAGCAGAUGAGCUCUGCUCUGCUAUAAGCAUAUCAAUUAUGCAGUUAUAUUGUUUCAGAUUGUGGGCUACUACUUAUAAAAAGUACAGACAAAUUGUCCAAGACAUCCGGCACAACGAAGCUAAUGAGGGGCGAACGAAAACGUGGUCAAAAUUGUUGCACUGAUUGUAAAUUAAAUGCUGAGAAGCACCACCGACAAAUUUAAAAAGCAUUACAAGUAAUGGGUGUGAAACAUUUAUAAAUAUCAAUUCUCAGCUGGGGACAGUUGACAAUAAUUUGCGCAGAUUGAAGAAAUGAGACCUCUAACAGAGAGUUGUACAUAGAUAUGUGCACGAAAAUUAGAAUAUAUAUUAGAUGUAUAUAUUCCACUUACUAAAUAAUGCAAACAUUUUAAGCUCAUCCAAUUUUUGCCUGUCACUGACGACAAAUACGUAAAUGACAAGCGAAAAGACAUCUUAAUGAGUACAUAUGUAUAUAUGCAUAUACAUAUGAUUUAGUUAUAUGCCGAACCGAUAUAUUCCCACAGUCUGUCCACUGAAAAUAAUUUCUUACCUCAUCGAGAACGUUGAUCUCGCGUGCCAGAAUCCGAGCCACGUACCACGUACCACACCACGGAGCACAACUUGUGCUCAUAGUGGGUUUAUUUAAUUUUAAAAAUGAUCUAUGUGCGAUAAGCAAUUUCGUUUUCUAGCGAACUACACCGAAUAAGCUGCCAUACAAGAGAUACAUAUAUACAAAUAUAUGUCUAUGCAAAAAGAAAUGUUUAAAUAUAUUUAAAUUGAAAAAUAAAACAAAGUAAAAGUAAAAAAGUUUCUUUAAUUAUUCAAAUAUUUGACUGUCAAGCUAUUUACUUGGUAUUCCCCAAAACUUUUAGCGUUCAACAAUUGUGCAGAUAUGUAACUCUGUCAAUAAAAGAAUUAACAAUGCUUAAGAAGUUCUAACUAUUUUUAGCCAGAGA
Drosophila mojavensis is the source of this 4340-nucleotide long non-coding RNA. RefSeq lists it as uncharacterized. The record is from RefSeq and is a predicted model, not a curated record. The transcript is spliced from 4 exons. NCBI's taxonomy places the organism in Eukaryota, Metazoa, Arthropoda, Insecta, Diptera, Drosophilidae.